CUCAGAAGUGGCAAAAUCCCCCAAACGACAUCGGAGUUUCCUAGGGAUCAAUGGCAUCGGUGACUGAGUCGCCGAGUUCUGUUCGAAAAGUGAUUGUUCAAUUAAAAGCAACUGCCGAUGCUCCUAUACUCAAGCAGAAUAAGUUCAAGAUACCUGGAACUGAUAAAUUUGCUAAGGUGAUUGACUUUUUGAGGAGACAACUUCACAGAGAGACUGUGUUUGUAUAUAUCAACAGCGCAUUCUCUCCAAACCCUGAUGAAUUGGUUAUUGAUCUAUUUAAUGUAAGUUGUUUUUAGUUAUUUUGUUUCCUUGGAUUUUAUGUUUCCUCUUCAGUUGUGGGCCUUUGGCUAUGUAUGGAUAUCUGCUAUACAGAAAAAACAUUACUUAGUCAAUAUCAGAUCAUGUCUAGUCAUAGAAAACCAUCUAGACAUUUGUUGGGUGAAUUUUAUGCUUGUUUCUCAUUUCCUUCUUUUGUGAUCCUUGGUGAAUGCAAUCUGAGUGCAUUAGAAGAGCAUUGAUGAAUUCCAUCAUAAUGUUCAUUAUAAAUUAUGGAUACCAAGGGAUGGCACUAAUCUAUGGCAUAUAGUACAGAGAUACCUUGUGUAAUUUAUUUGUGUAUUUGUUCAUGUCUUGGAUUUGGGAAAAUUAUUUCUUAAUAUACUAACACUUUUAAGCAUUAAGCAUUUUGGUAGUAAGACAGGGGAGGUGAAAAUAUGCAGUGGUUCACGUGAAAUAGUUGUUAGUUUCCAUUUAUUAUUCCUGACUGUCCAUUAGCUAAGGUGUCAGUGAAAAUUUUUCAUAUAAAUGAAAGUAGAUUCUGUCUCACAUUGUCUGUGGUAUCCCACUUUGGUGUCUUUUCCUAUUAUAGGUGUGUACUAAUUUGUCUUCAACUAGCUGCCCUCCUCUCGUGAUAAACACAGCUAAGUACUGUAUCAUUGCAUGUUUUACACGUGCAACAUGAAUUUGUGAAUAUUACCAUAUGAGUUUCAAAUAUUGAUCUAUGACAAUGAACUCAGUUGGUUUAUUUGUUGGGGAGAAGAAUUCUAUUUAGUUUUUGUGAAUUUUUCUCUUAUUUUUUCAUCAAAUACCAGGAGUUUUAGAUUUUUGUUGUUUGGUUGAUUUUUUUGAUAAAAUUUUCUGUAUUAUGAUGAUUUCUCUGCUGAAAUGCUUCCAACCUGGUUCAGUUUUGAUAUUUUAUUAUGUAUUUCUCUAUCUUAUAGCCAUUUAUACUUUAAUAAUGCAG
RNAcentral lists this unclassified non-coding RNA (1243 nucleotides) under Hevea brasiliensis (rubber tree). Lineage: Eukaryota; Viridiplantae; Streptophyta; Magnoliopsida; Malpighiales; Euphorbiaceae. The record is from RNAcentral.